Molecule: long non-coding RNA, 41972 nt
Organism: Gasterosteus aculeatus aculeatus (three-spined stickleback)
Lineage: Eukaryota; Metazoa; Chordata; Actinopteri; Perciformes; Gasterosteidae
Source: Ensembl
GUACUUUGUUUUGUUGGUCCUACUUGUGCGCCCACGCAAUGUGUUUCACCUCACCCACCUUUUGGCCAGCUCACGUGUGACGCCGAGUUACGGUAUCCUCUCUUUAGAGGAGGGCGUAACACAGGGCCUCAAACACAGAGUUUAAACAAAAGGUACUUUUAAUAAUUUAAAAAUUCAAAAGUCGAAGGGGAAAAACAUGGACAGACACAGAACAGGCACUCACAGGCAAGAUGACGACAGACGAGAGGAACAUCCACAAAGACUUUUAGACAUUGACGAUAUUCACGAGCACGAAUGACAUUCGAUGACACGACAAGGGACACGCAUUGCUUAAAUACACUGGGAAGUUGCAGGUGAUUGAACACGGCAGACAAUGACAGGGGCUGACAGGACAAGGCAGGAAGUGAAGUUAAUCCAGGAGCACCAGAGGCGUGAAACUACAAAAUAAAACGAGACGUGAACCCAAACCACGACACCAGCAUUAUGCUAUGAGCUGAUAUUGGCUGUGUCCAGGUGUAUACAACCAACCAGAUGAGGCACUGUGUCUCCAAACCUUAUUGUUGCUGUCAAACCUUUAAAGGGGUUCUCUCCGUUGUUGCUGGUGUAAUUUCAGCGCGAAACCGGAUACAACCCUCCUCCACCCAAGGCACCUCCAGCCAGCUGUCACGCAUUCUUCAGUCAUCCUCGGUUUUCAUCAACUCCCUUCUUCACCACCACCACCAGUGUCUGGACUCCAGGCAGAGAUUCUGCCAAGCAGAACUCUGCAUCACAGCCCCUUGAUUAUCCUGGAGUCCAAUCGCCAAGAUUGUGCAUUAUUUCAAUGUUAUAAAUGUGUAAUAAAUGUUUGUCAAUUUGGGCCGAGUGUCUCCUGAUUGAACUUCCAUUGUGCAUUGUCAUUGAGGUAGUCAAGGAAAUAACAUGUCAGAAAUGAUCAACCAUGGCACAGUAACAUAAAGGGGAAAAAAUGAAAUUCUAUCAUUGUAGACAGAGCUGUAAACUUUAUUGCACUCCUUAAGUAAGAGAGUCACAUUGUCCAAGGUGUGGCCCGACAAAAUAAAAGGUUUACAUAACAGUCUUAUGUACACUUCACGUGGUUGAAAACAUCUCCUGACUACUUUAGGACUACCUUAAUCUUAGGACAGGAGCCUACGGAGUACACUCGUCUGUCUGCCUCAGGGUGCUGUGACCUCAUCAUGGACACAUUAUGAAGACCAUGUGUCAAUGCUGAGUAAAUGCCGCAGUGUAGCAGGGGAGUAUAUCAGAUUUAUAAGAUCAGCCUUUUCAUUCAACUGCCUGAGAAAUCUAUCUUCCAGAUUGGAGCAGAAUGUUAGAUGCAUGCCACUCUUUAGUUUUUCAGAGACAAAUGGUUGCUCUGUGCAAAUAUCAGGGCAUUCAAACAGCAGACAUAUUUUAAGUCUAUCUUUACCCGUGAUCGCUGUGGCCGAAUAAAAACAGGUUCUAGCUCUCUCUGCUCAUCAUAUCAUCUGUGUAGUGCCCCAGGAGGCAUCGAUGUUGUCUACCUACGUUGAAAUCCAGUGACACUGUAACCUACCUUUUGUCUCUUCUCCAUUUUCCAUCACUUUAAGGAAAGUAGGCAGAUAGUUGAUUGGGUAUGUUGUUCAAUGCAUUCAAAACUUGGCAAUCAGACUUUAUCGUUCACUUCUUUGUUGAGUCAGGCCUCGUGUUCACUUUAUCGGAUUUCUAUUUAGAAGCAGAAGUUAUUUUCUAUUGACUUGGCAGAUGAGAGACCCUUCGGACAUUGGGAGCAGUUUGACGUUCAUUUCUUAAAAUGUAUGUGUGUAUUGUAACUCUUACAAUGGAAGCAGUUUGGGGUUUGAUGUCUGGCUGGACACUUUCAAACUAUUUUUUCUGUAAGGUCUUUAUACCUUAACAAUGAUACUUUAAUAUUGCAAUAAUCAAUGCACAUAUUUUAUACUUUGUCUAGUUAUAGUGAUACACUUGCAAAGAAGUAUCACACACCACCUGUGUCUGCUAUCAAGCUUUUUACAUUAUUUAGAUUCAGAUUAGGUUUUAUGGCCCAGAUCCCUCCAUAUCAAAGAGCAAUCUCAAUGUCAGAACAAAUGUAUGAAAGAGAAAAAAAAACGCAAGUAGCCACAUUAUCCUGCUGGUUCAGUUGAUUCAGUUGCACAACACCAACACUAAUUUAAUCACCAAAAAUAAAGAAUAAAAGAGGAGACGUGUGUAGUGGUUCAGAGGUCUUGAAUCAAACACAAAAAAAAUUGUGCUAACACAAAAAAUUGUAAUGUUGGGGAUUUAAAUUAUGUUGCAGAUCAAGGACAUUGACGUCAGGCACAGCUAAAGAAAGAGAUGAAAGUAUGCCUACCUUCUUCCCAUGAAAGAGAUCCACUCUUACUGAAACAGUUGGGAGAAGGAAGGAAUGAGAAAUCUGCCAGCGAGGCAGCAGUGACAUUGGCCAGGUUUAGAAUGGACUUUCAGCAUGUGAAAUCAGCUGCCCCACUGUAAGUUACAUCCCCUGUGCUCAAGAGAAUAUCAAUAUUUCCCCCUACUUUAGUGGCCAUAAGAUUGAAACCUUGCGAGCACGCAGCAUAACAGGGAAAAUAUUAAAGCUUUUGUCAAACUAUAAAAAACAUGUUUCUUGAAACUGCCUAUGACAAAGGAACCAGAGGGCGUUGAGAACGGUGGGCUAGUUUUUGCUCUUAAAAUAUCCUACAAUGUCCUCAAAGUGGUAUGAUAAUGGUCCAUGUCAACGGAGGUCAGCAGCGGAGGACGACUCCAGAGUUUACUUUACCCUUAAUGUACACGUGAUUAAAUGAGACAAAGUUUUGGCAGCAGCUGGAGCUCUGAUGUUUGUGAUAAUAUCUUAAUAUUAAAUGUGCCUCAUGAAAUACAGCCAUAACGAAAGACUGUUUUUUGUGGUGAUAGUUAUGGAUGUGCUUUAUAAAGAUCUAUACUGCAUUAAAAAUUCUGUGUCCUUGUCGUCUUCCGAGCAGACUACUGCUUUUGUGGCAACACACUGUCUUUGUAACGCUGGAUGCUCUAGUGUCUGGUUUCCAUGUAUCUCAAAGAAGCCAUCUCAUACUCAAUGUGGUGAAAAUUCUCUUUUAAUGUCCAUGAAUAGUGCCUUAAAAAGCAAAGAACGUUACUGUGCUUGACUGUAGUGGAAAAAUUUAAAAUCGAAUGAGAAGAAACUAGAAAAAAAACAUUUUUGAACGCAUACAUUUUACACCGGCUGCUUUUUAAUAAAAAAAGCUUUGUAAUUGGUGUCAUUCACUGUUGUCUAUAACUGUAGUGACUGACAGAAACCCCACUAAGCACAUGAUUAAUUAUAUUUGGUUUGACGGUUAGAUACAGUUUUGGUCAAAUGUUUACAUACACUCGUAAAGAACAUGGCGGUCUUGAGCUUAAAUAAUAUCUACAACGAUUAUUUUUCUGUGAUGGAAUGAUUGGAGCACAUUUUCUUUCUCACAAAAACAUUGAUGAAUUUUGGUUAUUUUUAUGAAUAUCUUUGUACAUGAGUGCUAGUCCACUACAUACAGUCUGGCCUGCGGGGUCCUGCCUUCCUUCCUCCACCCAACCCCGGCCCACCCUGUGACUGACUGGACAAGACACACCUGCUUCCACUCAGCCUCAGCCCCUUUGAAGUGAACAUAUGGACCUCUCCUUCCACUGUGCUUCGGGCCUCUUUGCCCUAAUUUCCCACUGUAUACACAGAUUAUCUGUGCCUGGGUAAUGCAAACAGAGGGAUCAUCUAAAUGUAUGUGAACACCCCUAAUGGCCCCUGCCAAUUGGUCCAGCAACAUGGCUGUUGGAUCUGGGAUUGCUGCAGUAAAGAUUUGCACUGUGGCUAAUUCGUCGAAGGGAUUACGCAGGUCUGCAGGGGUUGUUCCACGACUCAGGAGUUAUUGGUAUGGGAGUAAUACAUACUUAUCAUGUGGAUCUAUCAUCCCUUUCUGCUGGAUUUGGAAUGAGCUGCCUCUAGCUAUUCAUAAGCUCAAGAUGAAACUAUUCCAGGUCCAUGAGAGUUUUUUUAUGAUCAGUCGAAAUUUCCUUGGAGGAAUUUUUGACACAGGAGUUCUAUUUGGCUUGGCAGUGCUGUCAACUACGUAGCAGUACCACUCCAAAGAUUGACUAUGUAAGCUGUUCAAAUUGAAAUUUGAGUAUUUGAAAGUCCAAACUGACGUAAUUGACUACUUGGCAAUGAUAAUCUGAUGCAAAAAACGGUUUGAUGAUUUCUUCCAGAUCAUAAACUUGGAUCGAAUUCAACCAAGAAACUCCACACGUCACUCCGACUGAAAGACAACCACAACACAGUGUGCGAUGCAGUUAAUGAGUUUAAAGCACAAGACAGCAUCUGUCUCAGGCUCUCUGAGCUCUCUGUGAGUCAUACUUAUAGGUAGGGGCAUAAAAUCAACAGUCAUUGGAAACAAGCAGCUUCUGUAAGGGUUUCGGGAAAGCUCUCGAGGGAGGCCUCACUCCUUUGUUCUCGUCCCGGCCGGAAAGAAGAAUCAAAAGAGUCAGCUUGCUUAAAUUCAAAAAUCAAAAAGUAUUUAAUGACUAAACAAAGUUAUAAGGAAUCAAAUUACAAAGUGAAAUACAAAGCGAACAGUAAAAUAUUUCGCCAAAUAGAGAAUCCUCUGAGCAAGUCUAAAGCGACUUAUCAAAGCGGCUGCAGGAAAAUUCUAACAGUCCUUUCCCUGCUUUGGUCCUUUGAAAACUCUUCAGGUGUGUCUUCUUGGGUGCAUUUGAAUGUCAUUGGCUUCUUCUUCAAAGUGUCCCCUCCUGUAUUGUCCCCUUCACGUCGAGGUGUGAAGCUGCUGCUGUAACCUGAAACCUCUCUGUCCUAUCUGUCCCUCACAUUCCAAUGCAUUCAAUGUAGAUACAAUUGGCUUCAUGCCUCAAUGAGUGAAUUUAACAAAGCAUACAUAGUUUGUCUUCAUCUUAUAACUAGUACACCUUAAUUACAACACAUCAUUAAUGAUCACCGUUCAUCACACUUCAUCAUAGAUCUAAAACAGUUCAUGUGGUUCAAUUCUCAAGACAUUUGCCCCAGUUGGCUGCCUUACAUUAAGUUGUUCAUUUACUACCUGACAGGAGAAAAAACUCCCAAAAAAAAACUCUUUGGGGGGUAAAAUUGGGAGAAAUCGGCAAUUAGCAUCCGUCCCAAGGUUUUAACAUCACAUUGGGACAGAAUGUUAAUGUGUAGAGUGUUUAUACGAUUCAAAUGACUAUAAACUGUGUUUGAUUAAAAUUGUAUUCACUUCAUCUAACAUGUUAAUGUAAUAACUAAUAUCUAACAUCACACAAACUAUAAUUCUAACACUAAACAUUAUUACACGUACUAUAAAUUCUAUGACUAGGGGUGCACUUCUGGCUUAAAUCCCUAACACUUCCCACAGAUGUUGUUGUCAGAUGACAGUUGCUGGGCAUCACCAGACCUGCCAAGAAGAAAGGAGAGCUCCCGCGUUGCACCUGAUGGUGCGCACUAAGGCAUUCAGGUAGGCCUGGGAAUUAAGCUCAGGCCCCGGGAAGCCAGACGAAGCCACAUGGACGGACCGCCAGCCAAAAGAACUUCAGACCACACCGAUGCUGCACUUUGUUAAUGAAGAUUGUGUGCGUGCGUCUGGACCUUGUGAAUGUUCAUCAACAGCAUGUGCCCGCCCGCCCAGCUGCCUCAACCACUAACCCUCUUUGAAAAAUAGAUCGUUUCCAGGGACGCUCUCUUCCCAGCGAAUGACAGUCUCCCAUGAUGCACGUUUGUACACCAUUCACGUUCUUAAGAUGUCGGAUCACAAAUCACCUGGAUGUGCAGCUGCGCCAGCUACAUCACAAGCCGUUCUAUAAUGGGAAAAAUCUCCAGUUUACAUCUUGGCAGAAGGAAAAUCACAGCUAAGCUUCAACUGGUUUUCCUCGACUGCCUUGUGGACGGUCGCAAUCUGGACAGAUUGCAGACAGGGCUCUUGACAAAUUGCCAUCUUUGAUUUUAUUGGUGUUUGACCUUGAAACUGAUGUGGGAUGCCUCUGUGUUAUGAGGGAAUAGAUUAUGAGCAAAUGUGUUUUCAAUAGAGCUCAGAUUUUUCCGUGCUAGCUGGUUUACAAGAGUUUUUGAAGUGGUUAUUCAGAGAGGGCCAUAAGUGGGAGCGACACGGAUCAUAUUUCCAAAAGCUUUCUUUGGGGCAGAUGCGGCAUCCUUAAAAGUAAUUUACAAUAUAUCCUAUGCUGCACUGUAAGAGUAUCUAAACCAGACUGGCAGCCAUGGCUUAAAUUGCCUGGAAACAUCUUGCUUUCCAUCGUAAUAUAUGAUGUACUUUACUAUAAAAUAGUGCUUGAAGAACUGCAAUCCACUAUGGUAAUAUCUCCACUGAAGAUUACCGUCAAUGACACAUACCAUAUAGGAAUGUCAUAAAAAUAUUCAGUUUCCAUUUCAAUCAAAGCCCCAUAAAAUUGUAUGUAAACUGUAAACAUUCUAUUUUAAAGAUUGAUAGAAGCAAAAUUUGUAUUGAAAAGCUGUUGAGUCAACUGUAAUUUCCAAUAGAACACACAAUCUAGUAGUCUCAUACCAAACCUUCUAACUAUAACGGAAUCAAUAAAGUUUCUUGUCAACUGCCAACCAACAUACAUCAGACUAUGCAGGUGUAUUUCUGGGAAGUGUAAGGUUUUUUGGUUAAGCAGUUUUUCUGGAAUUUACAAGCAUCAAUUCUUGAGUCCAAGCAAUUGACUGGGUACUUCAAAAGUUCCUCCCUAAACAGCCAGUAAUUAAAGACAAAGAUACUGAUACGUCAUCCUUAUAAACCAUUAUUGUGGUUGUGGUUCAAACCCUAUCACCAUCUAACACCAACAUCAAUACAAUAUCAGUGAGAACCUGCUGAUAGCUCAGAGGGAAUAAAUAGGGGGAAAGUCAUUGGUUCAUUCCUGCGGUUAGUCUUAUAUCAAACAGAAAUAAUCCCUUUGGGAUAAUUGAAAAGUCGGAAAAACAAUAUGCUGUUGUCCAAACAGCACAUAUGGCAAUGUGUAAAAUUUGAAGUAGGUAAAUUACAGAAAGGAUACUUUUUGUCGGCACAAAUCCAACGUCUUUCCUUUACAGUGGAUUAUACUAUCACACAAAACUUGCAUUAGCAUACACAUGGAUAUGCCCUUUCCCUAAUCCAAUUUAUUCCAAAAGGAACAAUUUAUUGUACCUUGCCUCCUUUCGCUCCCCCUCCUCCCCUUUUUUUUGCUCCCAGGCUAUGAUGAGGAAUGGAGGAACAGAAGGGAUUAGUUUACCAGGAAAUUGAAAAGGUGGAAGGGCAGCCAGAUAUGUGAGAUUACUCUAGUUUAAAACACACAGGCUGAUGAGGAUAACACGUGUGUGUUUAACACGGAGCGUGAGAGGGGAAUAGUUGGAUUGAAGGUGGUGAUAGAUUGAGCGAUAAAUGAGAAAGCAGAGAGGGAAUUGUGAUUGUGUCUGGUUUGUUCCUCCGUAAGUAUAGGCGUGUGUGUGUGUGUGUGUGUGUAUGUUGAAACAUUUAUGAAUCUGAUCAUAAUGUAAGGCAAGUCCAUAAGAGGCCUUAGGCAAAUAGAAAAAAGCAGGGGCAACCAUCUAGUUGAAUAAAGCCAAUCUGUGUUCUUUCUCAUGUCCAAAACCACAACCAGAUACUCUCAUCAGUUCCGCCCAUCACUACAAGUUCACUACAAAUAUUUCUUCGCCUCUUGGCUUUGUCAAUACAACCAGAUGAUCAAUUUGUCAGUUAUACUCCCAUUUAGAAAUAAAUGGACACUUAAGCCCCCCUGACGGGUCAAUAGUGUACUUAUACUAAAGGGCAAGGUUGCAGUUGGUUGUUGACAUUUUAACAUUGUUUAUUUGCCAAAAUGAUGCCCAUUCUUGUCCAAAUAUGGUCACUUCUCAUUAAAAAACGAAACAAGAUGAUAACCGUUCAAAUGGCAAAGUCUUCAGACGGCACACCACCAUCAGGGAAAUUGUGGUGACCACUUCUUUUUAUAUAUUAAGAUAAAAAACCGCUUACUAUGCUACAGAUCACAAAAAAUGCACUACACACAGGUGUAGAAAGACACCCUAUGGAUAUUUUUUGGUCUUGAAAAGGUUUAAUGUAAACUCUGGUAAACCUAUGUAUUGUUUGUUCCCAUAUCUGUAAAAGUCGUUUCAGCCGGAGAUCUCCUUGGAGCCAUUCCUGCUGCGAACCAACCCUGGGUCUUCACUCAAAUGUAAUUACACUUUAUGGAGAAUGAACUGCUUUAAAAAGUCUUGUUAUCUCCAGAUAGAAAAAAAUAUAAAGAUCUUACAUGAAACCUGUGAGUAGGUGCGUUGAAAAAAAAUGACUGUCUCUCAUUUUCCAAGGGGGCCACAGCCUUACAGACAAUAAGUAAAACAUAAUGUGCAAUGAUACAUAGACAUUAACUCUCCUAUUCCUAUUGUCAUUAUCCUUGCCCCAAUGGUAUUUGAUGUGGAAAGUCAAUGGAGACCUCAAGCCAACAGCUCACAUGUGAUAAUAAUAAGUAAUCCGCAGGGUUGGUGUCAUUACUUUAUAGCCUCCACUGAGCCAGAAAAUCAUGGGUAAGGAAAGAAAAUAUGCACAUUGCUAUUGCACUAAUUAGACUUUACGCCCUUUGCAGUCCAUUCAAUAUAAUUACAUUAACAGUUAUGUGUAUAUAUUUGAUCAUUAUCCGGUUUUGAACUAGUAUAGCUCGCUUACAUGGGGUAUAAUGAUGUAGUAGAAGGUAUCAUUAUAGUCAGGACGAAAAAGGCUACAAUGCAUGUUAGGGAUACUUAAUGUUAGGGAUAGAUAACCCAAGACAAACCUCUCUCAAAACCAUUGAGCCUAGGAUGUAUACAUUACAUGGUAUCCGCACUAGCCCUUGAGUCAUACAUUUAAAGUGUUCCUAUCUGUCCGGCUGUGAACAGCAUAUAUGUCAGCAUUUUGUCUGAUGACAAUCAUGGAUGUCGAAACAUCAUUUAUUUGUGCAACUAUCAGAGGCUCAUUUCCCUGUGUGUUAGCUUUUCUCACAGUAAGGACUUAAUCGCAGACCAGGGCUCCGUUUCAAGUAGGCGGUUUAACAAACUCUGAGUGGAACCCUAAACUCUGAGUUGAUUUACCCUGAAACUGAGUUUUGGGUUUCAGAACAGCUGUUUAGAGUUGGUUCCAUCAACUCGGAGUAGGUUGACUCAGAGUUGAGUGCGUGCACCACCACAGUAUGAAGGCGGCAUGAAUAGAGGCAUGAUACUACGAUUACCACGGCAACCACGACAAACGAUCGGUCGGCGUACUUCACCCAUAUUGAGGUGGAAGUAUUAAUGCAAGUGUACGGCGAGUAUGAACACAUCAUUAGAGAAAAAAGCAACGCCGCUACUGCAGUAAAAGAGAAACGUCGUGGGAUAAAAUUGCUGCUCGGGUCAACGUGUAAGUUCCAAUAUAGUGUUGUCAGUUAAUAUUUAAUUUAAACUCAGUUUGUUAGAAUGCACUACACACAGGCUUGACAUACACACCCAUGCUCAUAUUUAAUCAAGAAUAAUAACGCUGGUAACAACUGGUACAAUGGUAUUGAACCUAUAAUGUAUUUUAAUCAGGUGCAAUCCAGGUGAGAAAUGGUCGUGGAAGCAGCUGAAAAUAAAGAAGAAAAGUAUAGUUCAAACAGGUACGGUGUUGCAUGUAAUAUGAUCAUGGCUGUACUUCGUUGUAAUCACAUUUCACAAAUCACAAAUUUGAAUGUAAUGUAGCUUUAUCCCCAACACAAUUUUGCGUACACAAAUGUCCUCUCACCUAUCCAGUUUUGUUAAAGUAAAUGGCCCAUUUAAAAUAGCAUGUGACUUCCACUCAGCCAACAGAGAGAAGGCAGAGGCCCGAAAAACAGGUAGAGGACCAGCACCACCGCUUCUGACAGAGGCUGAGGAGCUAGCCAGCUCCUCAGCCUAAACAAGGGAAGGCCAGUGGCUGAAGGCAUCCCUGGAGGGAGCUCCUCAUCUGAGGCAGCCACAUCCCAAGUCACAAGUGCCUUUAUAGGAUGUAAUGGCCUUAUAUUCAUCUUAUUCCAAUGUGAAAAUAUCAUUUAUUGUUUAUUUUUAUCGUUGGUGGUGCUCUCUCUCUUGUGGACCCUCAUGCCACAGCAGAAGUCCUUGAAGCUGUAAGACAACUAAAUACCCCAGACAUGAUGCAGGUAUUAUCACCACUAUGUUACUGAUGGUCAUCUCCACAUUCACAAUUCUUAACACUGCUGUCCCCACAGCAGUGUGUGGAUAUGGAGUGUGACAUAUGAAUGGAUAUUCUAUUUCUUAACAGAACGUGGCUGGGCAAAAGGAGGAGGGUCCAUCAACUUCCACAUCACAACUAAACACAGUGAGAUGUGCAAAAAUGCCAGAGAUUCAUAAUGUUCAACUGUAUGAUUUUAUUGUCAUGAUGUUAUGUAUUCACAGUUACCUGCAAAGGACCUUUAUAGGAUCCACCUAGUCAAGAAUAUAAAAAAGUGACCUUGAAAUGGUGUUUGCAGUCCAGGCCAGAUAAAAAAAAGAGACUGAUCUCGAAAUCCUAAAAUACAAGCUAGAGGUGGGUGCACGGUCACAGGUGAUUUGUGUUAAAUAUUGGAUAAGAGAAACCCAACUUUUGCUUUUGUAUUUUUAGGAAAUAAAGAGGAAAUGAAGUUUGAUGCAUUUUCUUUAUUUGGGUGGUGCACGUGUUUUAUUCGGUAAGGUGAUUUCUGCAUAUGAUGUCUCUGACUGCUCUUCCAUCCUGCACAUCUGCAGGGUAAAUAGGGUCCUCAUCAGGGUCCUCUAUUUGUUGGGCAGGGUGUUGCUCUCCUGCAGUGGGCCACAUUAAAGUUGCUCUGAGGGCCUGGAUCAGGGUCAGGAUAAGGAGUGAGCAGAGUGGGCUGGUACGGGUAACUUCUGUCACCCGGUCUUCAAACUCUCCUCUAAUGUAUAGGGUAUACAUGUGAGUGUAUUUAAAGAGGGUGACGGGUGAAUAAUACCGUACAAGGCUUUAAGCUGCUUACCACGUUCCAUCCUGUUGCUGAGGGCAGACUACGAUAUACCCGUGAGUCACGCACAGACCCAGGCCAUUUUGCCUCUACAUUAUUUAUUAGGCAUGCAGCAUCACAUAUGAUCUUGAUGGUACAGAGAAUGACACUUGUUACUUGCAGUAUUGUGAUGUGGUAUUUGACAUUUUGUGACAGUGGUAAAUUUACCUGCUCAUUGAUGGUGUGAAAAGACUUCCUAUUCACAUAGUCUGCUUCAUUCACUGAAGGAGCAGUGAUUAGGAUUUAUGUCCCAUCAAUGCAGCCAAUCACAUUUGGAAAUCCUAAAAUAAAUUAAAAUUCCUUAUACCAUUCUGAUCUUGCAACGCCAUGUCAUUAACAAAAUUAUAAUAAUGAUUAAUUCUAAAGGGUUUCACAUCAUUCACCUGCAAUCCUGUGGAACUCCUCUUUAAUGGCUUCACUGAAAACAGAAAAAUGUUUAAAAGACGUUUUAGAGCGAGGCACACUUUUCUCACGGCAUACAGCAGCUUUACUAAUAUUCUCCUCAUCCCCGACGUUGUACAGGAAAAUGCUGUUUGGAAAAAAACGUAAUGCUACAAUCUGAAUCUGCUCGGACGUGAGAGCAUGUCCACGAUGAGUAACAUUAGUGUAUAUAUCUAAUCGGGGCUUCAAUAUUCUCUCCCGGCUUAUGUUUAACACCCUGCGAAGCAAUACCACUUCUUCGUCAACAGGAUCGUCCAGAAAAGGACGUGCCAUCCUCGAGAAAAAAAUCUUCAUAUCUUAUUUUGUUCAUAUGUCUAAACUGCGCUAAAAUACACCUGAUACGGUGUACUUGAAUGAAUGAGGAAAUGAAAGCUUACCAUGGUGACUGACCCUGAGCUUUACGACAGAAAGACAUACCUAUAUAUAGGAGGGGAAACUAACAAGACACAGGGGAAAAAAAUCAGGCAGACAAUCAGGGAGAUGAUGGGGGACGGGUGAGUGACAACAGCAGAGGGCGGAGUCUACGGAGAAUGACAGAAACACAGCAAACACCUGACGAAAUAAACAAACAGGGGGAAACACGUGGCAUAAGACAACAGCGAUCACAGCGAAAAAUGUCUCUUAGACAUGAAUCGAUCACGUUUUCCUCAUUGUCCCUCAUGAUGGAGUUUCAACGGGUCCUAAGCACAUGAGACAAACUAGUUUAGUACUCUAGUGGGAUGUAUGAACAGAAACGAGUGUCCGUUCUGGAUUAAAUGCUCUACUUUUACUGUCCACUUUUCUCUUUUUGGACAGCACCUUUUGUUAAUUAUUUAUCUCACCCGUCUCUUCUCUCGCUUUCUCCGUCGCACUCGUCUCCUUGUCAAAUUUCGCAAUUUUUUGUUUCUACCAUCUUUUUCUUUAUAAUUUGCAGCUAUCUCUCUCGUCUGUCUGCAAUAUUGAGACAAUAUCAUCCUGCCAGGAAUGCAAAGGGUCGAGUGGUAUGACUUUAACUUGGGUUGGGAUGGCAUAACUUCAAUGCAAUUGGUCUGUGCUUUAAACCAUUACCGCAAAGACUACCAAAGUUGCACCGGUCAAAAAGUGCCCCAUUGUGGUAAAUAACCGUCUGUAUAACUUCAGGUCCGGGUCCAGAUAUGCUGGUGUCUUGGUCUGGAUCAGAUCCGGACCGCUGUUCGCUAGUUAGGGACCUUUGUCCUACAACCACUCAAGGUAUCCCUGCACAUAAAAACUGGCUAACUCAUUGAUACACCAGGCAGACAAAGCCUACGGAAGAUAUCGGACACGUGGCGCCAGGGAUCAAUGAUCAACUUAAUGAAGCAAGACAACCCACCUCUACUUCUGAGUCAAAGGGACUUUAUAAGUCCUGCCAACUUUCAAAUUGUCCCGUCAGCUGUUGAGGUUUCAGGGAAACUCGAUCUCUUAAAACAGCAUAUAGGCUUAGUAAACACACAGAAAAGGUGCAUCCAAUAGUCAUUGUGACUAACUGCACAGGGAGUAUGAGAGCUGGUUCGCUUAUUCAAUAUACAUUUGCAUUUUGAGGUUUUGAAUUUUCUUCAUAUUUUAAUGGCAAACGUACAACCAAGUGUUAAAUUUGGCAGCUUUAGUCUUUACUUUUGAUGAAAUGCAUGUUAGUUUUAGUCACAUUUAGUCAUUUUAAUCCUCCUUAGUUUUAGUCUAUUUUUCGUCAACAAAAAAUAAUUACAUUUUAGUGUAGUUUUAGUCAUAUGUAAUAGCCAUAUUGUAGCAGUUCUAUCAAAAGCCUCCACCUGUCACGUGUGUUCGCACGUGUCUGUUGCUUAGUAACGAACGUACGGUAGUCGAGGCGGUUUAACACCGUCUUCUCACGAGGUGGCGUGUGAACUAUAGUUGACAUGCGUGUGUCACAGUCAAUGCGUGAGGCUUCAGAACCUGCAAUGAGUUUAUUAUGUUAUACGUGUGUUUGUAGAAGAUUACUGUAACGGACCGUGUCAUGCAGGAGACGGAGCAGGUCCGCAUGGAUUUCUGCUGGCCGACUGUCUGUUAAACGGGUCUUCAUGUUUCUCUAUAGCACCGCGGCUUCAGACUGCUGAGUUAAACUAAGGAAGUGCAUGUUCAAACUCGCCAAAGCGUAAAUUAGUCGUCGUCGUCCAUAGUCGGUGCACGAGAAGCACUGAUGUGACAGAGCGUGCUGGGUUCGCGGAUGAUGAUCUCUCGACCCUUUAAUAAGGGGCAUUACACUACAAUAAACAAAAUAGAGAGAUAUAGAAUUACACCCGCCAAAGUGGCUCGAGAGAGACAUAGCUUUACCUGCCGAAUUCCACCCGGAUUUUGCGGGUCGGCGGUUGCUGAUGUCCCCUGACUAUAAGUAAGUUUCCAUUUAAGUGCUACUAAAAUUGAAAUAAAAAAAGUAUUGUGACUUCAUCAACCACCAACAUUUUUGUCUCAUUAUCGUAAGUUUGAAAAUAAACACUAUGACUAAAUCUAUUCUAAGGUCCAUUUUCGUCACGUCUUAGUCAUGGGAACCCGGUUUGGGUUCACGUCUCGUUUUAUUUUGUAGUUUCAUGCCUCUGGUGUCCCUGGGCUAACUUCACUUCCUGCCUUGUGCUGUCAUCCCCUGUGAUUGUCUGCCGUGUCCAAUCACCUGCACCUUCCCAGUGAAUUUAAGCCAUGUGUGUCUUUGUCCCUUGUCGGGUCAUUGACUGUAACUCCACAAGUCUUGAAUGUCUACCCUGAACCUCGUCCCCGUGACGUGUAAGUUCCUGGUCACCGUCUUUUUUGAAUUAUUAAAAGUACCUUUUGUUGUUGUGUCUGAGUCCUGCUAUCGGUCACGCCACCCCGGCCGUCGUGACAGGUUGUUAACGAACAUUUUUUGUCGACGAUAUUGACACUGGUACAACCAGUGUGCUGCACGCGGAAAAUGAAAUGUUUGACGCAUAUGAUGAUACCCAUCAUUUCUGAAAUUAGGUGUCCGUUUUCUUAUUUAUGCAUCUUCAAAUACCUAUUUUAUAUUUUUUAGAUGUCAGUUCUAAGGUCCCCAGAUUAAUAUUGCCGAUUUCAAGGAUAGUCAGAGCUAUAUAUCUUGUAACAAACUGAAGUUUUCAUUUAACGCUAUACUUGGCAACAAAAAUUCUAUGAAUCUAGGGUCAUCUAGUAUUUCUACUCUCCACGCUGCGGCCAACAUGCACAAUUAGUCUGAUGAGCGAUGAGUAUCAUUGAAGUAUACCUUUGCUUCAGUCAUCUUCCACAGUCAUAUUCCCCAAUAUCACUUUUGUUUUGGCACUGGUCUCAGCUGUAUUGUAAAUGUCAAACUGAUGCAUCGGCGGCCAUUUAUGAUAUUGUUGGACAUCGAUCUAUUUGUAAAGAGCUGCUUGCAUACACACAAAUGUGCUAUUAUUUACAGCAAAGCAUCUUUCUAGUGCUCUCCAGUUGAAAGACAGCCACCUUAGGGUUACAUGUGACAGCAAGGAGAAAGAUGUAUGAGUAAGCUGUGCAUAUGAGCGUGAUCUGUGCUGGCUCUGGUACAUUAAAGGUGUUAAAGAAAUGUAUUAUGCUGUAUUGACCUUUGGAGGGCCAAUGCAGUGCCAACCACUACCAUGAUACACACAUGAUGAUACAUGCAGUAAACGCACAUGAACAUACAGGUUUCUUUUCUAUCAGAGGCUGCAGAAACUUAACACUAGCUUCAAGGUGGUCGCUUAUGACCAUUUGGGUUCUUAUUAUGCAAAUAGAUUUGGUCUAUCAGUUGUGCUUUUUCUGAGCCAAAUACCACACAACACCUCCGAUACUGUAUCUUUCAAAGUCACUAAUAAUUAUGUCUAACAACAUUAUAAAGAAAUCCACAUUGGUGGCUUUGACUUCUGUGACCUUGCAGUGCAAUGUGCAUAUUGCAAAGUUACUUGUAUUUAAAUCCUGUGCUUCCCGUCGUUACAGAUCACUAACCUUAGUUCCAUUGUGUACCAGAAACCUGUCAACACCGAUAUAACAGCCCCAUUCUUUAAAAACAUCACAUUGAGAGUCAUCCCCACUUAAUGCAAUAAUUAGGACUGUCAAUAGAUUUAGAAAAUGUAACUAAUUAAUCGCACAUUUUGAAAUUCAUUGAUCUUGAUUAAUGGCGAUUAAUAAAUGUUGUUAGAAUGUAGUUUUUACUGAAUGUUUGUUCUUCUUCUAACGUCUAUUUCAGACACAAACCUGCACACAUUUGAUCAUCUUGGAGGCAGAAUUCCACCGGGUGGAACAUGUUGACCUAGCAACUCUUCCAGCUAGCUUAGCCUAGCGGUCAGUGGCGGAUGGUCCAUAGAGGGCCAUGGGACGUGGCCCCAACUUGAACUACAAAAAGUUUUUUUUAAAUUAUAUUAAAAAUUAAUUUUACAAAUAGUCAAUACGUCUCUAUUGGUGUUUUUGAAAUAUGGAAUAUACUCAGCGCUAUGCUUUUCCUGCACGUCCUCUCCGCAUGUCUCAUCAAUCGCGCCUCCUUCCUUGUGGUAUUUUGUCCGAAGCAGGCUACGGACAUUUCAUUGAGACCCCAACGAACCAUAUCAACUCGUGGUAAAAUCGGCAUAUGAUGGGACCUUUAAGUGGUCCGUUUGCCAAUCACUCCCCUUCUGUUGGACACGUGGAGGAAUUCCUCUGGACAGUUCUCCGCUAUAUGUCGCGGCUGUUUGUUUUACUUCCAAUGUAAAAGCUCUCUCCAUCUUGAGCUAUCAUUUUGAGGGGGAUUUGUCUGGUUUCUGUCUGUCAAAGAUGUGAUCAACCCCUAAAAUGUCUAUUCAAGUGAUCAGACUCAAAGGGUUUUACACACUGACAAAAACACACACACACACGCUCAAAGACAAAACAGUUGACGCUGAUGAAAAUGUCACUUGGUUUGCAGGUUUUUUGUCAUAAAGAAAAGUAUUGUAAACAUUAUUUACAUGGAAAGGAUUACCAAACAUAUUAAAACUACUUAUUGGGACCAUGAAUCAAGGUACAAUGUAUGUGUCCAUAAUAAUAUUGCAAACAAAAGAACACUAAUGUCAAUGUCAUGGUGGGGCUUGAUGAAAAGUAGGUAGGGUCAAUCAUGAUGGGACCAUAAAUGUCUGCACACAAUUUUGAAAUAAUCUGUCCCAUAUAUGGUAGGAUGUUUCCCUGAAUAAGUGAAAUUGUACACCUGCUGGUGGCUCUAGAAAAAGGUAGAAUAAUCAAUUCAAUCUAAAGUCAUGGGAAUCUGAACUCUGGGGACCAUGAGUAUUGGAACUCAAUGAAUUUGAAUUUUGUCAGAAAGCAAACACACAAGAUGUUCCAACGGAUGGUACAUCCAGCCCAGGACUCAAGAUAGAAAGUAAAUUGGAGCAGAACUUCAUUGCUUCUUCCUCACUUCACCAAUAUUCUUAUUCUUAAUUAUGAAUAAUUGUAACAUGUUUCGGUUAACUGGAGAUAUUCAAGCACCCGAGGAACCACUACUACAAUUGACAUAAUCAUGCACACAGUUUAAAUGUCUUUGAAUAUGACUUAUUCUCUGUAUCAUUAUAGAGCAUUGAAAACCACCACACUGUGCUUUGUAAACACUUUAAUUAUUGCAGUUACAUGUCCCAAAAGUGUUGAAAAGACACAGUUGUGGACAAAAUCGAACCAUCAAAACAACUUGAAACAGAAUGUUUGUGUGACAGUUUCAAUUGCUGUACUCUGAUUAUACAGAGCCCUCAAAUUGAGCAGGGAGGGACAUUCACAACCAAAUGUAUUAUUCAUCCUCCACCUUGUGCUACUGUAUUCCUCAAAUCACACAGGUACAAACCGGCACAGAUCACAGUAUGUGGGUUCCUGUCUUCUCUGUUGUCUGACUGGGGUCUGAUCAGCUCUGACACAUCCAUGCAGGUCUCAAGACGACCCCAGAGGGUUUUUGGAGCUUUGAGAACACCUCAUUGUUUUCAUUUAGGAAGGUGUCCAAAUCUGAAUAUACACUGCGAUGAAAGGUUGGAGAGUGACUGAGCUCUAAGUUUCAUCUGACCCGAUGGUCAGGAAGAAACGUAAUUUUCAUACACGCAUGUUAAAACACAUACUUUUGGCACUCUCACUGUGAGAUAAUAUUGAUCACAUGGACAAAUUAGGGCGGCACGGUGGUGUGGUGGUUACCACUGUCGCCCCACAGCAAGAAGGUCCUGGGUUCGACUCUGCCCAGUGGCCUUUCUGUGUUCUCUGCAUGUUCUCCCUGUGUCUACGUGGGUUCUCUCCGGGUACUCCAUCUUCCUCCCACAGUCCAAAGACACGCUCUGUGUUCCCUGUGUGCAGGAUAAGCGGUUUGGAUGGAUGGACAAAUUAAUAUUGUCUCUCAAGUUUAAAAAACGUAAUGUUGGCUUUAAAAAAGGGUGUUCAAGAAAACACAUAGAUUGCAUUUGGACACUCCCGGCAACAAAGUUAGGAAAAAAACGUUUUUCUUUCAGGUUCCCACAGUUCAUGUUGUGAACAACAUUUUAAAUUUAAUAGAGUUAUGCUUCAGGGGGUACUUUUGAAAAUAAUCUGUCUGUCGUACACUGUUCAAAAAGGGAUAAAGCCAUUCUACCUUGGUAGUAGAAUGAUCCUAGAAUGAAAAAUGAUUUCCUCUCUGAGUAAAAUAGAAGGCAAAAAGUGCUUAGGGACGCGUGAAAAUCUAAAAAAUCGAACUGCCAACACAAUCUAAGGCAGGGGUGGGCAAUUAUUUUUCCCAAGAGGCCACAUGACAAACAGGGACCGUUAUCAAGGGGGGCUAGAUAUGAUUCCAGCUUCCCUUCAGAGAUAGCUGAGAAAGUUUACUGCUGCAAAGAGAUAUAAGUAGAGCUGUGUUUUUGACGGUGCAAGCUUCCUCCAGUUAACAGUUAUUUCCAUAGACCAAACUCGAUCCUGCACUGCAGCUCUUUAUAAAAAGAAGAAUUGAAUCUCAGCAGUUGGCGCAAUAUGGAGUUAUGGAAUUAUUUGAAGAGUCUAAUCUGAUUUCUAAAACAUUAAACAUACCCUUGACAUUAACCCUGAGCACAACACCUAAACUCUGGAAGGAACGUGGACCAGCCAUUAUGAUUUUUAUGACUUUGUUUUCAAAGAACAGAAAGUAGAACAAAGGCUGUAAUUGAACAUUUGAUGUUAUGCUGACUGUGUGCAAGUGAUGAGAAAAAAUAUUUUGGCAGUGCUAAAUGGCAUUUAAACUGAGUGGAAGCAUUGCUAGCUAGCAUUACACCAAAUGUCUACUGGAUGUGCAGAAAAGAAGCUUGAUGGAAGAUUUGCAUUCAGUAUUUUUAUUAGAAAUAUAGUGGUGAAAACAAAGGUUUCUCAGAGUAAUUUUCAUUGCAGAAUCUAAAUGCUCUGGUAUGCAAUUGUUUGGUUUGCCUUUUUGUUAUCUAGUUCGUCAAGGGCUCUUGUUAAAGUCAAGUCAAGUCAUUUUAUUUUGUAUAGCCCAUAAUCGCAAAUUACAAAUUUGCCUCAGAGGGCUUUACAGUCUGUACACAUACAACAUCCUCUGCCCCGAAACCCACCAUCGGCACAGGAAAAACUCCCCAAAAAAUGAAAAAACCCUUACAAGAGGGAAAAAAUGGAAGAAACCUUAGGGAGAACGUCAGAGGAGGGAUCCCACUCCCGGGAUGGACAGACUACAAUGGAUGCCAUGUGUACAGAAUGAACAAUGUAUAAUAUAUGCAAUUCCUAUGACAGAAAUUAUUCAAGUAAAGUAUUGUUAAAGAGAGUUGUGCUUAAAUUAAUGCCCCAUUUUAAACAAGGGCCCAGAAUUAAGUAGCCGCUGCAGUCUGUAAGAUGCUGCCACUUAUUUUGUCUUAAUCUCCCUUGUUGUCGAAAAAGCCUUUACAGCUCUAAAGUAUUUGGACCUCAGUCUCUCUCAUGAGGAAAAAUACAAAGACAAGCUAGCUCACUAAUGACUGUGAGGAAGAAUAUUGUGCUUGCUGUGUCACAACUUUGGCAAUGCUAUGUUCAUAUGUUCCAGGAGAUACAAGAUUUGUAAUGAAGGGAUUUUAGAUUCGUCACAGAGGUGAUAGAAGCACAACUCAAUCGCAGAUGUACACAAACAAAAAUACUUUACUUCAAGUAUCAGAAUGCCAAAACACGGACCAGGCCACGGGGAACCAAAUAACUCACUGGCACGGGAAACUAGUACAACGUAAUGACUCAACAAGGGACAAGAAACACACAUGGUUUAAAUACACUGGGGAGGUGCAGGUCAUUGGACACAUGAAAAAACAAUUAGGGACACGGCAGACAAUCACCCAUGGCAGAAAACACCGGGACAGGAAGUAAAGUUAACCCAGAGACACGAGAGGCAGGAAAUUUACAGUGGAUUUCUAGUGGUGUCUUACAGUAUUUUAUAAUAACUGUAACAUACAAUUAAAUGUUCAUCCCACAGUCAAUGCCAUAAAUGAACAGUUUGCACCGUUAAUUUACACUAACAACAGACUACCGUAAUUUUACAGCAUUGUAUUGAAAGGCAUACUAGUAGUUAUUGGGACUUAAACAAUCAGCCAAUCAGAGCUCUUGUUGUGGGCAGGACAAGGUCUCCAGAGUUUCCUUGUCAAUAUGUUAAUAUGUGUGCGUCAAGUAAGUAUGUCCUGGGGUCUUUUUCAAGAAGCGGGUUUAGUGUAAACUCAGAGUUAGUUAAUCCUGAGAUGAGGUUAAACACGUGUUAAACACGUCGGGAGAGAAUGUUGAGGCCCCGAUUAGAUACAUUGUCAUUUUCAGAUAACUACUUGUUUGAACGAUAAUGUUUUUCUUCACAGUCCAAAUAUGUACAUAACCUCACCCAUCAUGGACAUGGUCCCACGUCCGAGCACAUUCUUUGAUCAUUACGUUUUUCUGCAAAUGGCAGUUUCCUGUACAACAUUGGUGAUGCGGAGAAUAUUAGUAAAGCUGCUGUAUGCAGAGCCGUGAGAAAAGUGCCUCGCACUGAAACGUCUUUUAAAUGUUUUUAUUCCCUGGACAAGAACCAUGAAGCCAAUAAAGAGGAGUUCCACAGGAUGCAUCUGAAAAAAAUACAUUACAGGUCCAAUACCAUUGUACCAGUUUUUACCAGCGAUAUUGUUCUUGUGAUUAAAUAGCAGCAUGGGUGUGUAUUUCAAGCCUGUGUGUAGUGCAUUCUAACAGUGUAAAAAGGGACGUGGGACGACAGGUGGUGGUGUCCACGGCAGUUUGAGGUGCCCAGGACGGAUGAGUGGGUAAACCAGUCGGACCUUGACGAAACCUCCCGGUGACCGGCUUUUUUACCUCGGGUUGAACUCAUUUUAAAAAUGAACUUCUCAGCACUUUUUCCAGAUGGUAACUUUCAUUUUCUAUUUUUAUAUAAAUUUGGAUUUUAAUUACUGGAUUUUAAAUCCCCGCCGCAUGUCAAGUUUGACUGCGGGAAAAUUGAACACGAGACCGAACAUCAAAAAUAGGUAAGAUACUGUUUUAUGAAAAUGUUUUUCAUAAGGCAUUUCAUUUAUUAAUAAUGCAAAUUAUGUGUGUUAGAGUGAGACUGUCUGAAAGUUUUGUCGAAAGCCGGCAGUGUCUUCUGAUCAGACAUAUUGUUUGUGUAGAUAAAACUCCAAUAUAAAAUGUUACUAGAUUAUAAAUAAAGUUAAACUCAACGUUCUCUUUUGUGUGGUUUAUGUUCUUUUGAUCAGAAAGUGAGAAAAAGAAAUUAUCAGAAAGUGAGAAUAUAGAAAGAAUCCAAACGUGAGAAUAGUGAGAAAGCGACAAGAGAGGGAAUAAGAAAGGUUGAGAAUCCGAAAGUGAAGAGGGAGUGAAAAUAAGAAGGAAUCAAAAAGCGAGUAGAAAGGAAGAAUAAGAAAGGGAAGUGCAGGAAUACCUCACUGGAAAACAUAAUUGCACAACAAGGUUAUCGACCUUAUCCAUGACGUAAGGGAACAAUUUAGCUCCCUGGCAAAGGGCAUACUACAGUCUACCUACUUUUUAGUACCCUAAAGAUUGAUGAAAUUUUAAUGAGAUUAGGAUAUAUUUAGAAACCAUAUUUAGGCACCAUAUGUAAUAACUUAAUAGUCCAAACUGAUUCUUUCUGUAAGGGUUACCAUUUAAUCUUCAAAAGUAAACACCAUGCCUAACUGAGUUGUCUACUAUGAGUAAUGGUAUUUAUUCAUUUCAGAAGAUUGCUGUUACAGUUUCAUCCAAUAUUUCCAGAGUUCUAGUAAACCAGAACGCAUUAGCCUGUAUGUUCCCUCGGCCUACUGUUGUCUCAGCAGGGUUCCACUCUGAUUGGUCCAUAGAAAGUCUGUGACCUUUCACCUGUGGUUUGGUCAAAUCUGCUUUCUGGCUGGAUUCAAACAGCAUAGUGUGUUCUGGGAGACACACGCCUUCUAAUAGAAAUAGUUUUGCGAGUUUGGGCAGAUGUAAGGUUGGGUAAAAACCCAACCUGGAAGAGGGAAACCGAAGGAUCCAGGGGGGAAUGUUGAAUGUGCCGAUGCUAAAAAAAAAACAGAGUAAGAGGGAUUUAGAGGGAUUUCCCUCACUAUUUACUAUCACUUUCUUUUUCGUCACGCUGUGAUAUGACUGCCUGUUUCCCUUUGGCAGAGCACAUUCCCAGUUAACAUGUCAGUCUCUUCUUCAUAUAUUACUCUCUCACACACACACACACACACACACACACACACACUGGGAUUUGUGUAAUGUCAUAGGGGUCAUCUUAUCAAGUGUGCAAGCUGUGCAGGCCUUUGGGGUCAGGCCAGGUAAGCCAAACCCUACAUACCAGUGUGUUAUUUCCUCAUUUUGACCAUAGAUCAUGCUUUUCUUUUUUUCCACGAAGAUGUAGUUUCAGCCUCUAGAUUUGUUUUGCCGUUUGUGGUUUGUGAUUCUGGUGAUGAUGAUCACGUCUAGCCAGAGGUGUCUUAUUUGUGUGUGCUUCUUUCAUUGUAGGCACACUCAUUGAUGCUUAGAUCUAGGCCCUUCGGAAGAAACUACAGGGAAGACAAACCAGACUCUCCUGAAGACUCAGGAUGUACUUGGCAGCUGUAACAGUCGGGUCUCAAGAGAAGCACAGUCAAACAUGGGGAUUAGGCAAAUUAUUUUCUUUGCAGUGUCUGGAAAGUUUGUUAUUGUUUAAUUAUCCCGUCUCUAACACUACCUAUAAUCCCUAUUAUUUACAGAUUACCUCGUAUGAAAAGAAUUCACUGCGUAUUCCACUCCUUUUCACCUUGUUCAUAGAAGGAAAACCACAUCUAAAACUGUCAGAACACACACACAGAACGCCCUGCUCUAUAGUCUAUAUGCACCUAAUUAAUGAGAAAGGAUUGGGGAGCAGACGGAGUAUUGAGUAUUGUUGCACCUGAUGUUUGGAUAGUGAAUUAUGGCAUCGAGUGAAGAGCAAAUUGGAUCCGUUAGUUGAAACAAUUGAGGAUUUAUGGAGCAUAAUCCCAUAACGCACAUCCUGGCAUCAGACCUUAUUCUCCUCACGAUCUCCAGUUAAUCUGUUCUAAAUAUGCCAUAGUUAAUCACCCAAUGCCAUAUUGUUCAAAGUUAUCCUUUAAAAUUACUAGGCAAUACUAUGACAUUAACAUGAAAUGUAAAUGUCAUAGUGUCAUCAUCCGAUUCGGCAGUUGGCCUUAACUUUAGCAUUUUACCAGCGAUCGACAGGUUUUUAUUCUGCUAAUUUGCAUCUGAUUCUGUUGUGAAAAAACGCAAUAAUAUUGUGUCCAACUGAGCAGGGCUCUUAAGAGCGCAGAAUGUCUGUACCCUUUUACAAGGGUAACUGUGUACGUCAAGUCAGCUGACACAAGAUGUCUGUGACCAAACCUUCAGGUUAAUCAUAUUGAUUUACUUUGUUUGUGGUUAAAGUUAUCAGAUGGAUAACAAUGAUAUAUUUUACCUACAGAACACCAAAUUCAGUAAACAUACAGCUGACAUCCUGAUGCCUCAUUAUCCGUUUGUUUACCAGCUAACUAAAACACAUCUUAUCGAACCAAAACAAAGGGACAACGUCAACUCUCAGUCAAACUGCUGAUUCCUUCUCUGCAACACUGCUUGCUGCCAAAGUCUCUACGUGUGAUGGAAGCUUUUGUAAGAAAGCGUCAGUUAUAACCACAAUAAUACACCAUACUUUUACACCACUUACACCACAAAUCACCCAAAAGCUGUUUUUACUUCAUAUAUAUAUGUAGCAUUAUGUCACCCUGGACUUUAACACACAGAGACAAACUGAAGCUCACAUGGGGAUAAUUUUACCUUUUAAAACAUUUUAACAGGGAACAUGACUAAUUUAGCAAUAAAUGAACUCAAAUUUUUUUUUCUUCUCUCUGUAUUUAUUUGCUGCUUUUGUGUUCAGGUCUGAUGAAUACGCUGACUUUGCACUGGAAUAUUCCUGUUCUUCCCAUGGGGGGCGCUCUCGAGUCAUCAAGAGAAAUUGGGUACUGCGAGAUUUUCUCAUAAACGAGAUAUGACACACACUGAGGGAGAGGGGGACAAAGAGAGCACGAGUGUGAACGGGACUAUAGUAGCCUGCCUGCUCAGCCUCUGUGGUGGGGGCUCCGUCAUUGUGCACCAGCUGUAUGGUUUGGGAGUGUGAGAGCUUUCCCAGGGCCCCACCAGUGCAGAGAGCCCUGCAUCUUGGUUGAUAGCGCGUAGCCCCUUCCUGUUAUUCACAGCUCAUUUCUUCCUCCAUCCAAAAACCAUCCUCCCACCUGCUCCUUCUAUCACGAGAGAAAUUCAUAUAUGAAAUCCCGGAAGUGGAAGCUGUGACUGGUCUUGAGUUUGAGGAAAUGCUCUCUCGCUUUCCUUUAGCACAAUGAGUAGAGCAUCAUAUUUUAUCACAGGAAGGCCAAAGACUGUGAACCUUUUGUAUUGCUCUGGCAAUACAAAAGGUUCACAGGGGGAUUUCUCACCUGAAUCACAUCCAGUCAGUGUAUAAACCAAAGAUUUUGGUUUGAUGAAAAAAAAAGUGUGGUGUGAAAACUAUAUGGCAGAACAACAGAAGUUUCAUUAUCAUUGGCAUAUGGUAUGCUAUUAGAAGUAAGCACAUGCUGAUGAUACUAAAUGUCUGUGAUGCUGUCUCUGUCAGUGCGGAACGAGCAUGGGAUGGAUGGACUGAUGAGUCACAAACCCUGCGAGGCCAAAUGUGUUUGAGUUAGCCAUAAUUUGCUCAGCGGGGGAACUCCUCCAGGUGGAAAGCAAGCACGUCUUAUUACCAUCUGCGUCAGCGACAAUCAGCUCUGAUUUCACCUUGUGAGUCUACUACCUACUGUGGCAGGAAGUACCAAAGAGGCGGUUUACAGCGCUUUGCCAGGUGCUUUUUUGUUUGUGGACAGUUAAUGUCACUACAAUGAGAGAUGCACUCAUAAAACUAAACAGGUGAGAGGCCAUUUCCCAUGUAGACUGUUAUUUCUCAUUAGUAGUGAAGUAGCUGCUCUCGUCUUGAAUACAAACCCAAAGUUAGCAGAUAAAUAAACACAAUUUCCAUAUCUGCUCAAACACAUUGGCAGUUUUAUUAAGCCGGCCAGAUUCCGGGCUAACAGCUACGGGAGCUAAACCCACAGCAAAGAAUGUGCAGAUUUCUAGAUAACAGUGUUCUAAUUCAACUUUUACAGAAGCUAACUGGUGAAUCCAUAUCUCAUAACAAAAAGGCAUAAAUAAAUGUAAGCCAACACUCUAAUAUCAUCUGCUCCUAGGUUUGAGAUAAGUCAUUUUUCACUUAUACGAGGCUUUAAAUUGAGGUAUAUUUUGCACCAGUCAUUCCAUUUUUAAUUGAUAAUAAGCCUUCCAAAAAAAUUAUCCAGCUACCUUGUGACGCUUGAAAAUGGAGGUUUCUGUACUGUGUGUGUCUGGAGCCAGCUGUUUCUUGAGGGUUGGGUAUGGAACCUGAGACAGGAGCUACGUUACAAUGGUCACCAAUGGGCUUGCUACAAUGUACAGCCUAAGAAAAGGACAGUUAGUGUACAGUAGGUACGAUGUUGACCCGGUUGUCUCCAAGGGUUUGGGUUAGGGUAGAAUGUGAAACUCAUAACAGAAAUGCAAAUGAAGAAAAUAACCUAGAAUUAACAUGAACAACAAUACACAGAUAUUUUAUUCAACAUUAUAUAAAUAAUUGAGGUGGAUUUGACUCCAAUGUGCUUUAUUGAUCAUGAAAGCAGUGAGAUUGUCAAGUCUGAUGCAAAGUCUCCCCUUCACUGCAGGGAUGAAACAAGGGAGUAAACAACUCUGUCUAAAGACAAAAAGUACAAAUCGGGCCACUAUGAAGCCAAAUGUGCUUCAUUUAAAGGUUUCAUCCCACGUUUAACUGAACCGGUUUUUGUGCUACAAAUCCAACUAUUAGCUUUUGAGGAGAAAUCCCAUUGUGAAUAGAUGAAGCUGAAACAAUACACUGAUAAGGAAUGUUUACCAGUUUGAUAAAAAAUCUCGGUCAACGGCUUGUCAUUUAUAUCCAUUUGGAUUUAAAUAGAUAAAUGUAUAUCUUGACUCCUGCCCCCUUCCCACAACCCUGUAUAAAGGAUAAGCGGCUUUAAAGAUGACUGACUAACGGACAGUCUUUUCAAAAUAAAAUACCAUGGUUGGGAAAAACAACCAUUUAGUGAACUUUAUGUGUCCUUAUUCAUGAUUGCGUUUAUAACAUUACAUCAUUUAGUGGGAGAUAAUUAAAUACAAAUUAUGGUGCAUUGUGUUUCUUAGUGGGAGCUACAAAUGCUAGAUGGGACCAGUCCUGGCCAGAUCUAUUCUGUCAUUACCUUUCAAACUGAAAGCCCCUGUCACUGCUGCGUAAAGUUUUGCCUGAUUGAAUUUAAAUUCACUCAUUAAAAUUAACAUUUUUUGGAAUUUAUUAAAGUAGCUUCCGGUAAUUAGGGCUACAUAAAAAUGUUAAGUAUUGCCAGAUUCUGCUUGGGGUCAAAAGGAUCCCACUAGCUGGUCCUCUUCCUGUUGGAAUCUAUUGGAACCUUCAUUGAACAAUUACGACUCUUUGCUGUCACAUCUUCCGCCGCAAACUAAAAACACACCUCUUCAGACUCUACCUCGACUAAAGACUAACAAAUUGUAGCAUUUAAAUUGUACUUGUAACACCACUGAUCUAUAGCAAAUUGUGAAUUGGCUUAUUUGAGAAAAUUGCACUUUCUUGUUUCUUGUUCUUCUGAGUUUGUGUCCUUAUGGUUGAAUGCACUUAUUGUACGUCGCUUUGGAUAAAAGCGUCAGCUAAAUGACAUGUAAUGUAUUGUAAUGAACAAGCGUUGCAAUUAGAAGAUAUUCACAAAUUAGUAUUUUGAGUCACAUUCAUUAUAAAAACGAAUGCCUAUAUGUGUAUUUAGUCCACCAAUCUUUACCUUUUCACCAGUGUUGCAUUGCUCUCCACUCAUGUUGCUUAUUUCCUCACAAACUCGGCUGUAUGUCUCCAACUUGUCACCAGUCAUUCUACCUGCAUCCUUUUUGCUGUUGCUUUUUCUGUUUCAUGUGUUUGAAUCACUUUUUCGCACAAAUUUAGAGUUGAUAUUUAAAUAUCGAUGAAUAGGGAGAAGACCAGAUUCCAUCUGCUGGUACAGUGCAUCAAUCCAGUGACAAUAGAAAUGUCUUCCAAAAUAUUAAAUUGGUGAUGUAGCGGAAAUCCCAUUGCUUCAUUUUAGGAAGAGGAAAAGGGGAAGACCAGAUUCCACAGUUACAGGUACAGUGCCUCAAUGCAGUGACAAUAAAAAUGUCUUUGAUGAUGUAACGGAAAAUCCGUUGCUUACAUUUUAGGCAGACUAAUCUAGAGCACAAUAUGAUUCUUUACUGUUUACAAGACACAUCAACUUAGCUCUUAACACAUUUAUGACAAGGUUUCUACAUCUCAAACACUAUUCAGUAGCAAAGAUCCUUUAUCAGUAAGCUGUUGGUGGACUCAUACAAGUAACAUUCUAUUUUAUUUUUUUUUAGAAGAGGGUGGAUGAACAUAAUGUUUUUUAAUGUGAGCGCUUUUAAUAUCCAAAAUCAGGAAGGAGCAAUUAAAUAAAAGGUUUGUGCAUCGUAAAUCUACAGCUGCUGGAAGAAACUAUGAAGUUACUUGUACAUAACUAAUUAUUCUUUAUAGGAGGGUAAUUUCUCUCAUCUGAAUUUGGAUUUAUUGAGUUUUAUUCAUGGCAGUUUGGCAAAGCUUCAAAAGUCAAAACAAAAUUCAGUAGAGUUUAUUUUCAAUUAUUAGCAGUCACCAUGACAAGUCUCAAGCUUGGGAUCUGUAAAAAGUGCAUAUUAAUUCUAUUUUGGCACUGAUUAUUUUGUCCCUCUCUUUUUUGCCGCUUAUGGAGAAAUAAAUAAACAAGGCAAUUGUCAAAUUUCACCUACCAAUUGUCUGGGGAGUCCGGGCAACAUUAAUACAACUUUCAGAGUGAGGCCUUUUUAACUGAAAUAGCAUUUUAAGAACAAAUGUCAAUCAAAAUCUAGUAAAACCACUUACGACCAACUCCAGAAAAUAUCUUUUAUUUAUAUCUAUUUCUGAAAAUCUCCCCCUGCGGAGCGCCUGGACAGCUCUUAUCAUUCAGUCUGGGGCAUGAGACAGGGGCCGGUUUGCAGAGGAGGAUGUAAGGGAGGUGUAACUCAUCGCCAGAUAAUGGUUUCUGUCUCCCCUUGCUGCAGUCACUGGCCCUACUGGCCAAGUCAUCAAUCUACUGGAUCCCGCAGCCCUCGUUUCACUUAUCACCCCAAAACUACCACGGUGCGCUCUGAAUAACUGCUUUCAUGCACUAAUCCCUUUCAAUUCCCCACAACAUCUUUCAUCUUCAUAAUCAAGUCCUUUUCCAUCUUUUUUCCCCCACCUGUUUUAACAGAGCCUACCAGGAUAACGGCCUUGUGACAGAGGACCAGUGUUGAGAGUAACGCAUUACAAAGUAACGCAUUACUGUAAUUACACUACUUUUAGCGGUAAUGAGCAAAUAACGAAGUCUUUUUUAAAAUAAAUUAACGCAGUUACUGAAUUCAAUUACUGAAAUUGAAAUGAGUUCGUUACUUGCGUUAUUCUCUUUUGUGGCGCAAAAAGGAGGGCCGGCAAAUAGUAAGUAAAUAGCUGCCUGUCAGCACUAAAUAGUUGUGGCCACCAAACGUUGUGUGUCACAGAAUAGUCGCCGCACGUGCAUGUAAACAGAUUUAUAUGUUUUUGUUUAUUGUGUUUGACUGUUCAGUACUAUUUAUAUUCAUUACAUUUAAAAAGCAGACAUAAAAGUAACUUAAAAGUUACUUUCCAGAGUAACUAAUUACUUUUGAUACACAGUAACUGGUAAGUAAUUCAAUUACCUUUAAAAGAAGUAACUAGUAAUUGUAACUAAAUACUCAUUUUCAGUAACUUGCCCAACACUUCAAAGGACCAAAUGUUUUAUCUCCUCGACAUGAUGAAUUCAGAAGUCGCUUUGACGAGCGGAUUUAGAUCUUCUCCGUGGGUGGUCUGCGUGUUUGAACUGACCUUGAGCGUAAUGAGGAAAAAAAGCAGUUUUUAGACAAUGCUCUUGUGGUGUUGUUUGACCGGCUGUUGUCGGAGCAAGCGAGUCUGAUGGCUGCAUUAGGAGGGAACGCUACAGCGGGUCUAUGGUUACUGUACCUAGAUGGGCUGCCACUUUGUGUUUGCGAGCAGCGCUGAACAGGCACCCUACUUUGAUUAAAGUUGUUUAUUCUUGCCAUGUGAUCCAUUGUGACAAUAAGGCUGGGUCCGGCUUUAACCUGAAGCCAAACACACACUAAUGAGGACCAGGCCGGGCCGGGCUCUCUCUUUAAAUGUGACAUUGUGAAUCAGGCUCACAAUACCUGGAAACAAUAGUUACCCAGUGCACUCAUUGGGUUCUCUAUUUAGGGCCAGAGGACCGACGCGUUCGGAACGGAGGACCUAUUGUUCCCCUAAUGUUUAUUAUUAUCGUUAUUAUCAUUGUACCACUUCUUCACAAUAACAGGGUGCUUAGGAUACAAGCAAGGCUGUUUUUGCAAAAAUUGCUGUCUAGGAUGCAUGUCGAGGGAAAAAUUGUCUCGCUAGUGCGGCUUUUGAUUAACGUCAAUAUUGGGUUUCAGCUAGCUUUAUGAAAUUUGGUAUGUAUGUAACAUAAUGGGAAGUACAAAAAAUUCUCUCGGAGGAAAGACCUUACCUAACAGUAAGUGGGCUAUUUAUUGCCACGUAUUUUACACAUGAAAGAAAUUUGUCUUGGUGAUUGGCGCGUAUAAAAUAAGAUGAAAUAAAAUAUACAAGCAAAAAUGAAUGAUAUAAACAGGUAAGAUAACAUAGGAUAAGUACGUUAAAAAACAUAUGUACAUAUAUUUUCAUGCUGAUGUAAUGUCUGGGUCACUGGGGCACUUAGUUUAUAAGAGGUCUUGGUCCAGGUUGUUACAGCCUCACCAUGUCACCAGUUGGUCUCCGAUCUGUGGGCGGUGGGCAGUUUCAUCCGCCAAUUUCAUCCAUUGACGGUGGAUGGAUGUUAUUCAUUUUAACAGAUGAAUCACUCUUUAAGACAUUGAUGAUGUUAUACAGCUGAUGCUCGUAAGGAUCCGUGAAAGAACGGCAACAUGGCAUCUCUGCGAAUUUAGAUACUUCCCCUUCAACCAAUAAAAUGAUGUAACUCAAUUCCACAAAGGCAGAUCUUUUUUCCGACCGUUAUCUUUAAUGAGACUGUGCUAAAUGAAAUCUACAGGAAAAUAUUUAAUCACAGUCAUGGCACCACCAACUAGUAACAGGAAGUUAGUGUUGCUAUGUGUUUCUCUUAGUAAGUAAAUCAGAUCAACACCAAAUUAGUUCUACAAAAUGUAGCAAGAUUGUGGUCCCAGCCCAAGAAGCUUCUACACCAGGGGUGCCCACUAGGUCCAUCAGUACCAGUGAGGCAGGACCAGUAGAUUGCAUCCCAUUGAUGAUAAAAUGAUGUCAAGCAUGCGCGGUGUACCGUGUGAGAUGACCAAAACUAAUGCUAAUUAGCAAUCCUUGCUUAUUAACGGACGCAUUUAAUUUCAACCAAACUUAGAACACACAUUUGAGCCUAGGAUAUUAAUACUUCAGACCUGCGAUUUUUUUGCUCAAUAAUUUGGGUUUAUGAUCAAAACCCGACUUUGGGUACAAUUGGUGUUGUAGGAAAUGAAUGUCUAUUUCCAGGCACUGUACUUUUAACAAAACUCCUCACUUUCAACUUUGGUCAGUACAAUUUUAGAGACCUAAAUUUAGUUAUUUAUUUUGUGAUUUUCCCAAUAUUGCUUAGCUUUAUAAGAGUCAUAGUUUGAGGUGCCUGCACACGAGGUUGUCGUCCAUAGUACAGGGAAUUAUUACAGUAUAUUGUAUAAAGUAAUUGAACGUGACAUACAUUUUGGGAAAUCAAAUCACAUAUCGACCAGAUUAAUUCAUAUUACGCUAUUUAACCUUUUUGCCUAAACUUUUUUCACGUGGAUGUCUACAGUCAUUUCUCCUGGACUCUUCCCGCUUGGAAUCACUAAGCAGUGAUUAUCCAUGCAGUUGGUUUUGUUGGAGUUGGAGUUGGCAAUCUGGGGGGGUGACUGGAUCAUUCAGUGCCACAGGCAUGAGCUGACCCUAUUGUUUGUGCAAUAAAGCUUCAGGAAGCAAUGAUGCAAUCAGGAAGUAAUAUCGAGAAUUAGCAGCAUCUAAUGUUACAGCAUUGAUGUGGCAGGCUUUGAAAAUGAUAGUAUGCUGAUUCGGGGUACUUUGUUAUGUGUUAUACAAUCUCAACCAAACAUGGUAUCUGACAUCUGCUUCUUUUCAAGGAUUUUUCUUCUUUUUCACUAGAGGAAUAAGAGGGGGAAUACACAUUAUGUUCAGGAAUGUUUCCACAACCAAUGAGAUCUGAGCUUGAGCUCUGCGUUACUAGCACCAAUGUCCACAUGAUUAAGGAGCCAGAGAAAGGGUAAUGAAAUAAGAGAGUAAAAAUGAGUGUGGUUCCCUUUGCAUCUCGUCUGUGUUUGGAUUGAUGAAAUUGACAUGGAGGGUUUAAACAGGGGCUCAUGCACACGUGUGUGCAAACCCAGUGCACCCAGUGCUCCUUCACUACAGUGAUAGAUUCAACAGUUCCCCCUACAUUAGCCCUAUAUUAGAUGCAGAGCUCGCUGCAUGAAAAAUUGUUUCUCUUGCAGGGAUGUCUAAUGCAUUUUUAAUAAUAUAUUUGCCUCAUCAGCAUCUCACCUCUCAGGGCGAGCCUGCGUACCUGAAAUGAGCAGCGGAAGAGGGGAAAGUUAAAUAGCUUUUAAGAUGUCUGAGUAAAGAAUGUUGGGAAGAAGGAUGGCUCACCAAAAUGAAAUCCAUCCUGAAAAAAAGUCCAAUAGUUCAGACAUUUAUAGGAGGGAACAGCAGUAUGGAUCCCUAAUGGUGAUUUUAUUGUUUUCGAUCCAGCAACUUUGUUUUCUUAAAAAUGUCCAAUUUCCAUUAAAAUUUCCAUUUUGUGUUCUAAUAAAGUAAUACCGAAACAUGUCACACUGAGCAUAUUACAAAACGUUGUCAUAUUAUAUAUAUAACAGUCUGUCGUUUCACCCCUCCUCAUCGAUCAGAACUUGCCGAAUGGUGGCAAUUUCCUGACCCCUGUUGACCGCAACAAUCCAAUCACAAUUGGAGAAACAUAACAAACGAGGACUGAAUACAGGACAUGUGUCCUACAAAUAGGCCCAAGCCGCCAGCCAUCCACACAGGGUCAGCUCGGAUAUCUCAAAUAUCACCCAUCGCUCAUCCAUUUAGGCCGUCAAACUGGGGCAGUCGGUUGUGACACUAUCGGGGUGCUCUGCUGCCCUCGUGCCCACAUCUUCUACCCUCUCUCAACCAUCUAUCACUGGAGGAGCUCUAAUUAGUGUGUUAUUCUGCCAAGCAAACUAUUCCAAGCUUCUGAAAAGGCCUCCUCGGGCUUUGAAUGACAGGGAAAGCAUUGAGAGAGGGAAAAUGGUAGGAGGAGAGGAAAGCCAAUCACUGUGCGCAGAAUGUCAUUUGAAUAGCCUUUUCAGCAAACUGCAGCAGCAAUUAUAUUCCCCCCUUUAGACUUCCUGCCAGGAUAUUUUUCUUUGUUGUUUCUUCGUCAAACUGGUGCCAUCAAUUGACAGGUUGAGCUUGACAGAAUAAUAGGUCCAUGAUAAAGAGGUCAAAAUUAAUUUCUGCUAUAGUGUCAUUACUGUAGAAAUAUAAUGUGCUGUAUAUGUACACCGUCAUAUUUAUGGCUGUUCAGAGUGAGUUAUGCUGAUUACUUUGAGGGAGAGGAAGGGUGGUGUCUGUUGAAUUGCAUUAAUUCAGUUUAAAUUCUGGCUAAUAUUUUGCAUUAAAAGAGAUCGGCAUGCAUCACACAUAUUAACAAAGAAAACAUUGUUUUUUCCUUUGCAUAAAACCUCACAGAAUACGACAGUCUCCCCAAAAUGAUCUUACUAAAUCAACAAUCACUUUUAAUGGCUGUUGAAAGUAGUUCUCUUCUCCUGGCUUGGUUAGACUAUCAGCUCUUUCACCAGACUACAAGUUUUAGUUAUGAUAAACUAGAUUAACAAGAUGUCAGUCGAUCAGAAUUUACAAGUAUAUUGGCUUUGGAUGGAAAUAUUUUCGACAUGACACUGUUCAAACUAUAUUUAAAAAAAUCUUGUUAUGAAUGAAUUACUAAUAACAAUAACACAUUUAAGUGGCAAGUUUAGAACGUAAAUUCAAAUUUCUCUUGAUUGGAAACUACAGAAAUGUGUUUUGAUAGUAAAGUUGCCCCACGGAUGAAUCCUGUCCUCUCUUUCCCCAUCAUCUUCUUCCUCUUCCAGCGCGACAUAGCAGGUUGCCCCAUGCUGCUUAUUUUCCUUCCAUCUUUCCUCGUAUCCCUCUGUUUCCCUGGACUGAAAGUCUGCCAAAGACUCAAUCUGCCCUGUUAUUCCUGUUUGCAGUGCAGAGUCCUUGUCCUUGUUGCAGUCCCAAAAGAGCUCCUCUUUCUUCCUCCCCCAGUGAGUGGGUUACGUUUGGAGCUGUUGGAUACAUUGAAUUACUGUGUCAUGCCACAUGCAGCACCUGGCAAUUGGAACAUAAUAGCUCUCUUCUUGCACCCAUCAGACACUGGCUCUCAGGUUAUUUGUUGUACUGUUCCUGAACUCAAUCCACACGUAAACAAGUAAGAGAGGUUAUAUACAUUGCUCUGCAAAAGAUUUAAAAAUAAUAUAAAGAGUUUAUAUUCAUCAAAAAUCUAUGAUAAAUAUUGAAAUUAAAGAUAAACGGCUUUUAAGUAUUAACGUGGACAGAGUUGUCAAGACACAAGGAAACUGUUUUUUACGGCAGAAGCGCUGGUUUAUUUCCCAAACAUUUGUCGAUAUGGAACAUAUACCAAAACAAUUAAUGAAGUUCUGGGGCCCCAAUUUAAGAAGUAGACAAAACAUAACUCUCUGAAUAAGGUUUAGCAAUGCAACGCAUCCACUUCAUUUUUCCCCCACCGAACACUUGAGUGAAACAUAUAUAGCGGCUGACUAAACCAACAAAAGAAUACAGGGAAGGAUAACCAAAUAUCUGACAUACAACGUAACACAAACCUGCCCUAAUUCCCCCAUGCGGUCAAAGCUCUGUUAUGGUCCAUGGCUCAGGCCUUCUGCAUAAAAGCCAACUCCACCUUCUGGUCUCAUCUUUUGUUCAGCCAUGAAGGGAACUCAGCAACAAGGUAAUGUCAUUGUGGGGCUUUGGCCAUCACAAGUAUUCAGAUAAUUUAGUUAAUAAAAAUAGUAAAACCACAUGUGAACUCGUUUGACAGUUAAAGCCAUGUUUUCAAAAGCUUUUUAAUUGGAAUAAUAUUCCUUUUAGUAUUUUUAUCAUUAUGUGCCUAAAAGGGCAGUGCUGAUUAGAGACAGAGAGGGAGAAAUAUGGGUAUGACAUGCACCAAAGGUGAAAAUGUUGGAGUUGUGGUUUUGGUUUAUUAAGUACUUAUCUACACAUAACAAAAAAAAAAAUCCAAGAUUAGAUAAAUGUAUUAAAUGAAACUGAAAAUCCCUGAAUUUUUCUGUGAAAAAGGUUAAUAUAAAUAUAAGUAAGUCUUUAGCCAUUUUAUUUCCUAAAGAAAAACACCGACUGAUUUGUGAGACAGGCAAAAAGUGACCUUAAUGUUUUUUGGCCACCGCACUGAUUCUUGCAAGAUACAGCUACACGAACGAGUAAGAAUUCGGUGAGCAAGUAUAGGGGAGGAAUUAAAUCAUGUUCAACUGUAUUUCAUCUUCAAUUUUCUUUUUUUGAGCCAUCUAUGAACAGCUCGGGGCAAGGUUGGGUAUUAAAAUGUCCUAGGCAUAGUGAUAGCUUUUAAAUAGACAUCCAAUAACUUUAUGUCCUGAUAAUGAAACUCAUUUUAAUGUCCCAGAUUAAAGCAGUUUUUAAACAUGGCAGCGCUGCUGGGAAAUGUAGGAUUUACUAUCCACAAAGGGGAUUACAGAAGAUUAAUUCAAAUGGUCUGUCUAGGCUUCAUUGUCAUUCUGCUUAUCCAUUUAUUUAUCAAUGAGCUUUUCAUUUCAGCUUUAUCUUGAAGUUACAGGUUUCUAAGAGACUAACAAAGUUGUAAAUCAUCAAUUUUCAUUAUUCUAGAAAAAUAAUUUUAAUUAUGAGGUGAAAUAAUAAAAGAAAUAAUCUACUAACAGCAUUGGGAAAAUUCAUCAGUAUUUGUUCACUUGCCUUUAGGAACACGUUUUAGUGAGACCACUACGGAUGUUUGCAAAGGAUGCAUUUUUUUUUUUUAAAUAUACUGGAAGAUGUGAACCUCUUAAGUGUACUAAAAAAAGUUUGCUUGAGCAAGUUUAAGUCAUAUCAAAUAUGCAAAACCACACAGGGGCGGACUGGGGGUAAAGUGGCCCAGGAGUUUCUGUCAAACCGGCCGACUCAAUGCUGCGACCAGUCAGUGGCCUACUUGGAAAAACACCAAUAAACUUAACAUUAUUUUGGAUGAUUACAAGGAAAUUCAAUCACACAUUGUUGUUUUUUAACAUUUUGAUUCACUAAUUUGCUAUUUGUACACGUGGAAUAAAAUGAUACUGGCUAUCGAAGCACAUCUGGAGCAACCUUGUCCUCUCUCGCCUCUGGUCCUACUAAUAGUUAUAUGGAGAGAAGACACAAUCAACAGAUUGCUGUCAGCUGAGCCCAAUUAAGCCUCAUACCAAUUCCCUGAACCAGUCCCCUCCCGUCUCCUCUGCAGACAAACCACACCAGUUUCACAUUUUCUACAGCUAAUUUUGAUGUAGUUCAGCAAAAUUACCGAGCUUCACAGUAAUGCUUGCUUUUAGUUUUUGCAUUUAGUUUCAGGAUGGUGUGUCACUCCAUCUUUACAAUACUGUACAAUCUCAACCAAACAGUUACGUAAGCUUGCCAUUGAGGGAAAAAAGGGAACAAAUGGAUUAGAUUACAAGGUACAUCAUUCAAGGGCAUUCACCCAAGACAGGACCCUUUGCCUCCACACACCACCAAUAAUAAUCAUAAUAAUAAUGAUGAAUGGAUACUGUCCAAUGCCAAUUGUGUCCCUGUUCCCAAAUGUCUGCUUAUCAAUACAAGAUGGAUGAUCAAGUCACUUGCUCACUAUUUUCUCAGGGCUUUGGUCAAUAGUCUCUCCAAUUAACAUCCAAUUACAAUGACCAGUAUUAAUCACCUGCGAUCAAGGGCAGUGAAGUUUGCAAAAGGUCACACAUGGACAAUUAAGAUUAACAGUGACAUGGCAGGAAGGUUAAUGCAGCGGGUGCGUUGUAGGUUGGGGCUGACAGAUACAAAGCAGAAAGAAUCAACGACAUUAACCCUGAGGUUCCUAGUGACUGGAGCUCAUGGGUCAAAUAUAAGGCUUGUCUUUAGUCUAAUGCUCUCUAAAACAAGAAAAAUGAAUUUGUUGUUGUUUUAAGGAAAAUGGAUUAUGACUUUUGCCUAAUGAAUUUUGCUUCUCAUUUAGCUGGAUGCAGAACAAUGCCUGAUGAACACCUAGGAGCCCACCAAAUGCUAUAAAAGUCGGGAACAAAAUUGCUCUCUUGUGGAAUGAGUUCACAGGCAGCUAAAAAGGCAUGUGAGUUGACAACUUAGGAGUUGUAUAAAGCGAAAGUUGUGAUAUACUCUGAAGUCCAUCCAUCCAUCUUCACACCACUCAUCCUGUACACAGGGUCGCGGGGGGGCUGGAGUCUAUCCAAGCCAACUUCGGGCGAGAGACAGGGUACACCCUGGACUGGUGGCCAGCCAAUCGUCAGUUUGUCAGCUCCUACAAAUACCUUUGCUUCUGGUUGGACUCAGCUCUCUCAUUUAACAUACACAUACAAAUCCUUCUGGCUAAAGUCAAAGCCAGACUGGGUUUUUUGUAUGGAAACAAGGCCUUGACUAUGGCAAUAUAAUCUAUAAAAUGGCAUCAAAGACCAACCUUAGAAAUCUGGACACACUCCACCACUAUGCAAUCCGAUUUGCCACAAGUGCACCCUUCACCACCCACCGCUGUGAUCUUUACGGAUUGGUGGAUUAGCCCUCCCUUGAUACCAGGCGGCUACAACACUGGCUGCUCGUGGUCUACAAAUCCAUUAUGGGAGUGAUCCCUCGCUACCUCUCGAAUCUUCUGCACAUUUCCGACAGCAAUCGCCAUUUAAGAUCCAGUCACUUCAGUCCGCUCAUUUCAAAAGUCUGUACGGUUUGGUCAUAACUCAUUUCAUUUUGCUGCUGCAAAUGAGUGGAACUCCAUACAAAACACUCUCAAACUAACAGCCCUCACCUCUCAACAUGUUAAAAAAAAGCUGCAACAAGCCAUAGUUGACUCCUGUACUUGCUGAUCAUCCCUCACUUCUCUCUCCCAUUUUUAUAAAGAACUUCCAGUAAUCUGCCUUUUUAUUUGUACAUAGUGUUUAUUUAUAAUUUAUAAAUGUAUAUAUUUAUAUAAAAACGUGGUAAGAUCUAGUGUCAAUGAGUGUAGGGACUGCCAUACUAGACCAACUUUUUUUUUUCAAAUAUAUAUAUAUUUUUAUUCCGACAGCAUGUCGGACCGCUUAUACAAUAAUACUGUGUUUUAAAACUAGCAUUAUGCAAAGUUAGAGUCAACUUUUGAUACUAAGCUUUUUAUGUGUUUGUGUUCGUUGAGAGGCUCUGUGUUGUAUGUCUUAGUACUUGACAAUGUAUAUGAGUUGUAUUCUCUUUCUUUUUUUCUUUGUUUGUGCAUGCAAUCUUUUUAAUCUUAUCUAUCUUUUUAGGUUUUUUUGUAACAUCGGCAACCUCUUGGGAGUACAUUAAUAGCAUGUUGGGUAACUGGCAUAUUUACAGAAAUGUUAAUAAUUUACACUGUCCCGUAUAAAGUAAACCAAUAAUCAAGGAAAAUAAUGAAUAAAAAAAAACAACUCGGGUUAUAAUGUAUUCUUUUUUUCGUCCCCAAAUGGCAAAUCUCAAAACGCGGCCUGUUUGUCCGUCCUCCAACUAGCUCAUCUAGCUCAUCGAGUUCUGGUUCUCCAUUGAUCACCAGUCUUGGAUUAAGGAACUGCAUACACAUUACUAAUUGUAAUAAUGUUUUUUGUGUUUCUUUUUCGUACCAAGGUCUUAUCAGUUCACAUGACAAUGCAGACAUUACUCCCUGAAAACAGCAAAUACUUUUAUAAUCAUCACUAACCUGACCGAAAUAGAGUUACCUCACUCUUGUUAUGGGAAGAUAACUUUUUAAUCCAUACACAUGUAACACACGCCAGCAAACAGGUAUUUGAUAAAAGGCCAGGUCAUGCAUUUCAUGUCUUAAUUUUUCAAUCCUUCAGGAAUCAGGAACAUUUAUUGCAAAAAUAUGUUCGACAUAUAAGCCAUUUGACAUGGCGGUUAUUGCAUAAUAUUGGACAGUAAGACCAAGACAAUGGACAACAAGACAAAUAAGAUGCAAAAAAAGUGGCAUUUUCAAUUUGACUCUAAAGUAUAAAAUAGAAGGCUAUGGGCUAGGGGAACAUACAAUAAGUUGGAUAAAAAGAAAAUUAAGUAAAAAGUUCAAAUAAAGUGCACUGGCCAACAUAUAACCAUACUCUACAAAACUGUGUUAUGAGUGUUUUGACAAGUCAACAGAUUUUAUCUGGGGUGAAAGGGCUCGGCUACAAUCUUUCUAGCUCGCUUCAGGGUUCUGGAAGCGAACAAGUCCUGGAAGGGUGGCAGAUUGCAGCCAAUCACCCUCUCUGCAGAGUGGAUGACACGCCUGCCUCUGUCCUUGGCUGUGGCUGCAGCGUACCAGACAGUGAUAGAGGAGCAGAGGAUGGACUCAAUGGCCGUGUAGAAGUACACCAGCAUUGUCUUUGGCAGGUUAAAUUUCUUCAGCUGCCUCAGGAUGUCACAGUUACUGGUAGCGGUGCACGAAUGACCCCAAAAGCACGGCUCGUGCGAUGGGCGAGACAGAUGGAUUUUACUGAAAGUUCAAGCAAAAUUGAUAACCGGGAGAUCCAUUAGUAGGCGAACAAAUUCAGAGGAGCAGGCAGAGAAUCUGUAGUUGAAAACAGGCAGGGUCAGAACAGAAGGAUAAAGGCUAAUUUAGAAACACCGGAGGACUUGGCAUACACACAAGAUAAUCUGGCAGGGAACAACCGAAUGUGACCGGCUUUAAUAGUGAGUGGCUGAUGAGGGGAUGUGCUGCAGGUGAGACAGGCCAGGAGAACCAGAUGAGGGUAAUGUGGGAGGAUCUGAAAUAACAGGAGGGUUAGUAAACAUGCAGGUGGGAUGAAAAACAAACUAAGAUGUGGUCAAAUGUGUGACACAGGAAGUUCAUCCUCUGCUGAGCCUUCUUGGUCAUGGAGGCUGGAGGUGCAGCUGCUUCUGACCACUAAAAGCGCUUUAACACUACAUGACAUCAUUCACCCAUUCACACCCAUUCAUACACUGAUGACAGGAGAACCAUACACAGUGACAGCUGCCCAUCAGUAACUACCAUUCACACACUGUAGUCACAGCUACAGGAGCAAUGUUGGGUUAAGUGUCUUGCCCAAGGACACAUUGACAUGCGGGUUAGCCGGGCCUGGGAUCGAACCGACAACCCUCUGAUUGGAGGACGACCGUGCUUCCCACUCACCCACAGUCGCAGUCGAUUUUGUGUUGUUUGUGUACAGGUUGAAGAGCAGAGGUGGGAACCGGUAACAUGGAGUCUGUGAUCCACUUGCAGGUGGAGUCGGGCACAUGCAUCUGAGAGCUUGUCCUGCAGCAGAGAAGGGAUGAGGCGAACUGCUAGAGGUCCAGGGGGGGGGGUUUCGAGGGUUUUUAGGUGGGACAGGACUAGCCGUUCAUGACUACAGAGGUCAGGGCGACGGGCCUGUAGUCACUAAGUCCUGUGAUCCUGGACUUUUUGGGAACAGGGAUGAUGGUGGAGGUCAAUGAGCGCACGAGAGAAAGAUGCCUGGCAGCGGUGUGGGAGAACCACGUUUUAACGAGUAGGCCCGUUUUCCUCUCCGAGUUGUUUCCGAUCUCUGGUGAAAGAGCUCCGGGACCCACAGCAGGAAACAGAAUUAACAACGAAAAUUUAAAACAACAAAAAGAAAACAGCAACGACACACCGACGCAGCCAUCUGCAGCACCAUCUUGGCUUCAUUAUAGGCUACAGCAGCGGUUCCCAAACUCAAGAAUCUCGCGGCCCACUUUGAAAUCUGAAAAUCUUUGGCGGCCCACCCAAACCUUUAAUCACAACUCUGAUCCAAACAUAAUGAUUAAAUGACCUUGAGAAUUUAACCAAAAUCAAACAUCCGCGAGCAAAAGUCUGUCUCGCACGAGCAAAAGUUUGUCUUCGCGAGGUAUUUGCUCGCUUGCGAAACGUCGCGAGGAGAAUCUCUGCUCGCGCUCGAAGGUGUUUUCUACGUGCUCGCUGUGGUUCUUUUUGACAGUGGAGACGGUGCUUUCAGGGUCCGAUCGAUGCUGCGAGGUGCGUCCGCUCCCGCCGCCCCCCUCGUCAUCCACGCCUUAAAUCUUCGGCUGCUUUUAGAAUAACUUAUUUCCCCGUUAAGAUGGUUCAGCUACUGUAGAGAAAAGGACACCGUCUCUCGCUCUUUAAUCUCAUUAAAUGCUCGGCAAGAACGACAGCUUUGUUUCUCCGACGCGCCCUGAAACAAGCUCCAUAUCUCACGCGCUUGAGCUCCGCUCAGCAUCUCGCCGUCGUAGACGAGCUCUGGCAUGUUUGUCAGAGCGGCUUGAGCGCCGUGUACAACCAGUAUGGAUCAACCGAUUAACCAAUUGAUCCAUAUAUAUAAGGCGCUCCGGAUUAUAAGGCACUGUCGUUUUUUGAGGAAAUUAAAGCCUUUUAAGUGCGCCUUGGAGUGCGGAAAAUGCGGUAUAUUUACUUCAAUACUACAAGAGGGCGCCCCGUUUGUUGAACAACGACAGGCAGACAAGAGCAGCCGUUUCGAGAGAGAGCCUUAUUGUUUUAUUAAUCUGUUCGUUUGAAUUGUUUGUGCUUCAUCAAUUCAUAAAUAUUUUGAUAUUCAUUUCAAACUUUUCAAAAUUGAAAAUUCAAAACUUUAUUUAUUUAUUGUAAAUGACCUCUCGCGGCCCACCUGCAGUACCUUCGCGGCCACUUCACUUUGGGAAUUGCUGGGCUAUAGCAUCCCAUCAGUAGCUCAUUCAUCAGUAGGAGUCUACAUCACAAGUCAAUAGCACAAACAUACAUCUGAUAUGUCAACUCAGCAGUGCGAUACUAACAUGUUAUACAACAAUAUUACUCUCUGCUCUGGAAAUAAUUGUUUUCUUCUUCUGAUUUAGCAAAAGAAUAACACGCUGAUUAGAAACCCAAUAAAUCACAAACCCAGGGUAGUGAUGAACUGUACACACAAAAUGUGCAACUUGCAGGCCUGGAAUCCAAACACAAAAACAUGUUCGAAUCUAAUUACACAACCAUUCCAGGACAAACGGUGGCAUGCUAACAGACAUACACACAAACAGGCCUACAAAACACAAAGAGACACAGUGCUCAGUUAUCUCUAGGAGCAGCGUCUGCCAGGAAGUUAUGGUUAACUCUUUGAUCCUUUCAGUCCCUGGAGACAUUGUGCUUGAUUAUUGUGGCCUGUGCCUGCUAGAUCAAUGGGUCAUCAAUGAGUGUAAUAACGUCUAACAUGCUGCGGUGAGCCCUUAUUGUUGCCUCCAUGCCGGCUCACAGGCAGAAAGGGAAUCAAGUCAAUAUGUGCAAAGACAUCAGAAUCAAUAAUAUAAAUCAACCAUAACUGGGUUUAGGAAUGCCUUUAUGAUGGAAAAAGCCUAAUUAAACAGUCAUGCUGAACCGCAUGAUGAUAUGCAGAAAGAAUCUGAUAUACAUUUAAAGAAGCAGUUAGACUAUAAUUUCCGCUUGACUACUAUGUCCAGCCAGGACUCGUCUACAUGUCCAGGUACUAGCAUGCCAACAGUCAUGGCGUGUUUAGCCUAGCUUAGCACAAAUACUGACCGCACUAAGAAACAGCUAGCCUGGCUCUAAAACCCCAAGUAACAAAAAUGAAGGCCCUUACACAACACGAGUGAUUAGUUUGUGCGUCCAAUAAACAAGCCUUUAAACUCAAACGGUUGUUUUCCUCAUGAGCACCUUCUUAUGGAACGAUGUGUUUAGUUAUUUAAAAACAAGAUCAUUUUUUGAUAAUUUGCAAUAUGAAUGAAGGCAUCAACUGAUCACACUAUAUGGAGGAAAUAACAGAAAUGUGCACUAGUACAGGGAGGCUCUUAGCUGUCAGAACGUAGCAAUAUUAAAGAGUAAUAAAGUAAACUUCAUAAGCAAUUCUUCCCAACCAUGACACAGCACAGACCAGAUCAA